This 314-nucleotide unclassified non-coding RNA is filed under the name plant metagenome. RNAcentral describes it as "partial contains 5.8S ribosomal RNA, internal transcribed spacer 2, and large subunit ribosomal RNA". The stretch from base 1 to 105 matches the Rfam family "5.8S ribosomal RNA", at positions 50 to 154 of the family's 154-position model. The record is from RNAcentral.
GAAAUGCGAUAAUUAAUGUGAAUUGCAGAAUUCAGUGAAUCAUCGAGUCUUUGAACGCACAUUGCGCCCCCUGGUAUUCCGGGGGGCAUGCCUGUCCGAGCGUCAUUGCUGCCCUCAAGCACGGCUUGUGUGUUGGGCUUCCGUCCCUGGCAACGGGGACGGGCCCAAAAGGCAGUGACGACACCAUGUCUGGUCCUCGAGCGUAUGGGGCUUUGUCACCCGCUCCCGUAGGUCCAGCUGGCAGCUAGCCUCGCAACCAAUCUUUUUAACCAGGUUGACCUCGGAUCAGGUAGGGAUACCCGCUGAACUUAAGC